This 253-nucleotide ribosomal RNA is filed under the name uncultured bacterium. RNAcentral describes it as "partial 16S ribosomal RNA". It matches the Rfam family "Bacterial small subunit ribosomal RNA", at positions 524 to 776 of the family's 1533-position model. The record is from RNAcentral.
UACAGAGGAUGCAAGCGUUAUCCGGAAUGAUUGGGCGUAAAGCGUCUGUAGGUGGCUUUUUAAGUCCGCCGUCAAAUCCCAGGGCUCAACUCUGGACAGGCGGUGGAAACUACCAAGCUGGAGUACGGUAGGGGCAGAGGGAAUUUCCGGUGGAGCGGUGAAAUGCGUUGAUAUCGGAAGGAACUCCGGCGGCGAAAGCGGUGCACUGGCUGGUUUCUGACGCUGAGGUGCGAAAGCCAGGGGAGCAAACGGG